Molecule: ribosomal RNA, 505 nt
Filed under: uncultured bacterium
Lineage: Bacteria
Description: partial 16S ribosomal RNA
Rfam family: Bacterial small subunit ribosomal RNA
Source: RNAcentral
GACGAACGCUGGCGGCGUGCUUAACACAUGCAAGUCGAACGGUGAAGCGCUUGCCUUUUUGGCGGGUGUGGAUGGGUGGCGAACUGGUGGGUAACACGUUAGUAACCUGCCCUCUUCUUCUGGAUAACCUCAUGAAAGUUGGGCUAAUACGGGGGAUUCCGGGUCUGUCGCAUGGCGGGAUUGGGCGCGAUUGCGCCUUUGGGUGUCUUCGUAGGGGGAUGGGGUCGCGGCUUAUCAGCUUGUUGGCGGGGUGUUGGCCUACCAAGGCGGUGACGGGUAGCCGGCCUGAGAGGGUGAACGGCCAUGCAGGGACGGAGACACGGCCAAGACUCCGGCGGGAGGCAGCAGUGAGGAAUAUUGCACAAUGGGAGCAAGGCUGAUGCAGUGACGCGGCGGGAGGGAUGGUGGCCGGCGGGUUGUGAACCUCUUUCGGGAGUGAAGCAGGGCUGCCUAGUUUGUGGGUGGGUUGACGGUAGCUGGAGAAGAAGCGCCGGCUAACUACGUG